GUUGACGGGACUCGCACAAGCGGUGGAGCAUGUGGUUUAAUUCGACGAUAAGCGAAGAACUUACCAGGGUUGACAUCUAGAGAACCCAGCAGAAACGUUGGGGUGCCCGUAAGGGAGCUCUAAGACAGGUGUUGCACGGCUGUCGUCAGCUCGUGUCGUGAGAUGUGCCCUUAAGUGGGUAAACGAGCGAAACCUGUGUCCUGUGUUGAUUUUUCACGGGAGACUGCCCCGGUUUACGGGGAGGAAGGCGCAGACGACGUCAAGUCAGCGUGGCUCUUACACCCUGGGCUACACACGUGCUACAAUGGCAGAUCAUAAAGAGUUGCAAAGCCGCAAGGCCAAGCUAAUCUCAUAAAAGCUGCCUCAGUUCGGAUUGAGGGCUGAAAUUCGCCCUCAUGAAGCUGGAAUCGCUAGUAAUCGUGGGUCAGCUAUACCACGGUGAAUACGUUCCCGGGCCUU
Molecule: ribosomal RNA, 459 nt
Filed under: uncultured Parcubacteria group bacterium
Lineage: Bacteria
Description: bacterial SSU rRNA
Rfam family: Bacterial small subunit ribosomal RNA
Source: RNAcentral